Molecule: ribosomal RNA, 712 nt
Filed under: Citrobacter sp.
Lineage: Bacteria; Pseudomonadati; Pseudomonadota; Gammaproteobacteria; Enterobacterales; Enterobacteriaceae
Description: bacterial SSU rRNA
Rfam family: Bacterial small subunit ribosomal RNA
Source: RNAcentral
AUGCAGUCGACGGUAGCACAGAGGAGCUUGCUCCUUGGGUGACGAGUGGCGGACGGGUGAGUAAUGUCUGGGAAACUGCCCGAUGGAGGGGGAUAACUACUGGAAACGGUAGCUAAUACCGCAUAACGUCGCAAGACCAAAGAGGGGGACCUUCGGGCCUCUUGCCAUCGGAUGUGCCCAGAUGGGAUUAGCUAGUAGGUGGGGUAACGGCUCACCUAGGCGACGAUCCCUAGCUGGUCUGAGAGGAUGACCAGCCACACUGGAACUGAGACACGGUCCAGACUCCUACGGGAGGCAGCAGUGGGGAAUAUUGCACAAUGGGCGCAAGCCUGAUGCAGCCAUGCCGCGUGUAUGAAGAAGGCCUUCGGGUUGUAAAGUACUUUCAGCGAGGAGGAAGGCGUUGUGGUUAAUAACCGCAGCGAUUGACGUUACUCGCAGAAGAAGCACCGGCUAACUCCGUGCCAGCAGCCGCGGUAAUACGGAGGGUGCAAGCGUUAAUCGGAAUUACUGGGCGUAAAGCGCACGCAGGCGGUCUGUCAAGUCGGAUGUGAAAUCCCCGGGCUCAACCUGGGAACUGCAUCCGAAACUGGCAGGCUAGAGUCUUGUAGAGGGGGGUAGAAUUCCAGGUGUAGCGGUGAAAUGCGUAGAGAUCUGGAGGAAUACCGGUGGCGAAGGCGGCCCCCUGGACAAAGACUGACGCUCAGGUGCGACU